CCAAUAGCGUAUAUUAAAGUUGUUGCAGUUAAAAAGCUCGUAGUUGAAUUUCGGGGUUCUUCCGUUGGUCAGGCUAACAAGUCUGUACUAGCGUGUAGAAUCUCUACCUUCUGGGGAACCAUCAUGUUAUUAAUUUAGCGUGGUGGGAAACCAGGACCUUUACCUUGAAAAAAUUAGAGUGUUCAAAGCAGGCUUACGUCUGAAUACAUUAGCAUGGAAUAAUAAAAUAGGACGGUGGUCCUGUUUUGUUGGUUUCUGAAUCACCGUAAUGAUUAAUAGGGAUAGUUGGGGGCAUUAGUAUUCAAUUGUCAGAGGUGAAAUUCUUGGAUUUAUUGAAGACUAACUUCUGCGAAAGCAUUUGCCAAGGAUGUUUUCAUUAAUCAAGAACGAAAGUUAGGGGAUCGAAGACGAUCAGAUACCGUCGUAGUCUUAACCAUAAACUAUGCCGACUAGGGAUCGGACGAUGUUAAAUUUUAUUGACUCGUUCGGCGCCUUACG
RNAcentral lists this non-coding RNA (498 nucleotides) under uncultured Glomeromycotina. RNAcentral's name for it is "partial small subunit ribosomal RNA". It matches the Rfam family "Eukaryotic small subunit ribosomal RNA", at positions 591 to 1092 of the family's 1831-position model. RNAcentral also lists the same sequence under 1 other name. The record is from RNAcentral. Lineage: Eukaryota; Fungi; Glomeromycota.